RNAcentral lists this ribosomal RNA (253 nucleotides) under uncultured bacterium. Its description in RNAcentral is "partial 16S ribosomal RNA". It matches the Rfam family "Bacterial small subunit ribosomal RNA", at positions 524 to 776 of the family's 1533-position model. The record is from RNAcentral.
UACGGGGGGGGCAAGCGUUGUUCGGAAUUACUGGGCGUAAAGGGCGCGUAGGCGGUUCAUUAAGUUGGAUGUGAAAACUCUGGGCUUAACUCAGAGCCUGCAUUCAAAACUGAUGGGCUGGAGUUCUGGAGGGGAUAGCGGAAUUCCUGGUGUAGCGGUGAAAUGCGUAGAUAUCUGGAGGAACACCGGUGGCGAAGGCGGCGUCCUGGACCAACACUGACACUGAGGCACGAAGGCCAGGGGAGCAAACGGG